CCAAUAGCGUAUAUUAAAGUUGUUGCAGUUAAAAAGCUCGUAGUUGAAUUUCGGGGUUAGUAGGUUGGUCAUGCCUCUGGUAUGUACUGGUCUCACUGAUUCCUCCUUCCUGAUGAACCUUAAUGCCAUUUAUUUGGUGUUUUGGGGAAUUUGGACUGUUACUUUGAAAAAAUUAGAGUGUUUAAAGCAAGCUAACGCUUGAAUACAUUAGCAUGGAAUAAUGAAAUAGGACGUUCGAUCCUAUUUUGUUGGUUUCUAGGAUUGACGUAAUGAUUAAUAGGGAUAGUUGGGGGCAUUAGUAUUCAAUUGUCAGAGGUGAAACUCUUGGAUUUAUUGAAGACUAACUACUGCGAAAGCAUUUGCCAAGGAUGUUUUCAUUAAUCAAGAACGAAAGUUAGGGGAUCGAAGACGAUCAGAUACCGUCGUAGUCUUAACCAUAAACUAUGCCGACUAGGGAUCGGAUGAUGUUAAUUUUUUAAUGACUCAUUCGGCGCCUUACG
This 500-nucleotide ribosomal RNA is filed under the name uncultured Glomeromycotina. RNAcentral's name for it is "partial small subunit ribosomal RNA". It matches the Rfam family "Eukaryotic small subunit ribosomal RNA", at positions 591 to 1092 of the family's 1831-position model. Lineage: Eukaryota; Fungi; Glomeromycota. The record is from RNAcentral.